Molecule: ribosomal RNA, 253 nt
Filed under: uncultured bacterium
Lineage: Bacteria
Description: partial 16S ribosomal RNA
Rfam family: Bacterial small subunit ribosomal RNA
Source: RNAcentral
UACAGAGGUCUCAAGCGUUGUUCGGAUUCAUUGGGCGUAAAGGGUGCGUAGGCGGCGCGGUAAGUCGGGUGUGAAAUCUCGGAGCUUAACUCCGAAACUGCAUUCGAUACUGCCGUGCUUGAGGACUGGAGAGGAGACUGGAAUUUACGGUGUAGCGGUGAAAUGCGUAGAUAUCGUAAGGAAGACCAGUGGCGAAGGCGGGUCUCUGGACAGUUCCUGACGCUGAGGCACGAAGGCUAGGGGAGCGAACGGA